Molecule: ribosomal RNA, 483 nt
Filed under: Alitta succinea
Lineage: Eukaryota; Metazoa; Annelida; Polychaeta; Phyllodocida; Nereididae
Description: partial large subunit ribosomal RNA
Rfam family: Bacterial large subunit ribosomal RNA
Source: RNAcentral
AAACAUCGCCUGUUGAACAUAUAACAGGUCCAUCCUGCCCAGUGAAAAGAUUUUUCAACGGCCGCGGUACCCUGACCGUGCAAAGGUAGCAUAAUCAUUUGCCUUUUAAUUGAAGGCUAGUAUGAAAGGAUAAACAAGAAUAAAGCUGUCUCAUUUGAAUUUAUCAUAAACUGAUAUUAAGGUGCAGAAGCCUUAAUUUAAAUAAAGGACAAGAAGACCCUAUAGAGCUUUAUUAAUCAAAACAUUAAAUUUUUACAUUAAUUUGGUUGGGGCAACCUAAAUACAUAUAAACCUAUUUUCAACAAACUAAAAACAUAAACCUAAAAUUAAAUCAGAAUAAGCUACCUUAGGGAUAACAGACUAAUCCUACUAGAGAGACCACAUUGACAGUAGGGGUUGGCACCUCGAUGUUGGCUUAGCGUAACUAUUAGGCGCAGCCGCCUAAUAUAGUUGGUUUGUUCAACCAUUAAACCGCUACGUGAU